UCCCGGCACGCUCCCUCUGCAGAUGGUCGU
This 30-nucleotide non-coding RNA is filed under the name Homo sapiens (human). Lineage: Eukaryota; Metazoa; Chordata; Mammalia; Primates; Hominidae. The record is from RNAcentral.